Molecule: small nuclear RNA, 116 nt
Organism: Perca flavescens (yellow perch)
Lineage: Eukaryota; Metazoa; Chordata; Actinopteri; Perciformes; Percidae
Product: U5 spliceosomal RNA
Exons: 1
Source: RefSeq, a predicted model, not a curated record
ACACUCUUGUUUCUCUUCAGAUCGUAUAAAUCUUUCGCCUUUUACUAAAGAUUUCCGUGGAGAGGAGCAUUAAGAGUUCUAAUUAAUUUUUUUGAUGUCCUACUAUAUGUGGGGCU